GACGAACGCUGGCGGCGUGCUUAACACAUGCAAGUCGAACGAAGAGCGAUGGAAGCUUGCUUCUAUCAAUCUUAGUGGCGAACGGGUGAGUAACGCGUAAUCAACCUGCCCUUCAGAGGGGGACAACAGUUGGAAACGACUGCUAAUACCUCAUACGAUCUGACCUCGGCAUCGAGGAUAGAUGAAAGGUGGCCUCUAUUUAUAAGCUAUCACUGAAGGAGGGGAUUGCGUCUGAUUAGCUAGUUGGAGGGGUAACGGCCCACCAAGGCGAUGAUCAGUAGCCGGUCUGAGAGGAUGAACGGCCACAUUGGGACUGAGACACGGCCCAGACUCCUACGGGAGGCAGCAGUGGGGAAUCUUCCGCAAUGGACGAAAGUCCGACGGAGCAACGCCGCGUGAGUGAUGACGGCCUUCGGGUUGUAAAGCUCUGUUAAUCGGGACGAAAGGCCUUCUUGCGAAUAGUUAGAAGGAUUGACGGUACCGGAAGAGAAAGCCACGGCUAACUACGUG
This 510-nucleotide ribosomal RNA is filed under the name uncultured bacterium. RNAcentral describes it as "partial 16S ribosomal RNA". It matches the Rfam family "Bacterial small subunit ribosomal RNA", at positions 28 to 507 of the family's 1533-position model. The record is from RNAcentral.